RNAcentral lists this transfer RNA (74 nucleotides) under Chthonomonas calidirosea. RNAcentral describes it as "tRNA-Ile". It matches the Rfam family "tRNA". Rfam says of the family: Transfer RNA (tRNA) molecules are approximately 80 nucleotides in length. Their secondary structure includes four short double-helical elements and three loops (D, anti-codon, and T loops). Further hydrogen bonds mediate the characteristic L-shaped molecular structure. tRNAs have two regions of fundamental functional importance: the anti-codon, which is responsible for specific mRNA codon recognition, and the 3' end, to which the tRNAs corresponding amino acid is attached (by aminoacyl-tRNA synthetases). tRNAs cope with the degeneracy of the genetic code in two manners: having more than one tRNA (with a specific anti-codon) for a particular amino acid; and 'wobble' base-pairing, i.e. permitting non-standard base-pairing at the 3rd anti-codon position. The record is from RNAcentral. RNAcentral also lists the same sequence under 3 other names. Lineage: Bacteria; Bacillati; Armatimonadota; Chthonomonadia; Chthonomonadales; Chthonomonadaceae.
GGGCCUAUAGCUCAGCUGGUUAGAGCGCACCCCUGAUAAGGGUGAGGUCUGAGGUCCGAAUCCUCAUAGGCCCA